AGGAGGCUCAGGACGGGGAGAGCUGGAGGGAGGUGGGUGGUGGGCUCUCUGUAGGCCCAGUUCCUGGGAGGGGCCUUUGAUUUUCAGCAGAAAGCUGGGAAAGUGUGCCUUUUGAGGCAGACACCACACAGAGGAGGCUGAGGAGGAGUGGAAUUAGCCUUUUGUGACCAUCCAAGGAGCACUGCCAUGGAGCUAUGUAGGAGAUGGUAGAAUCUGAGGACAGGAGGUAAGCAUGAAAACCAUUUGGAGUCUAUGCAUCACUAUGAGGGGGAGUGAGUGGAUCCAGGGGCUGAUGUUGGCUGCCGGCACAGAAAUAUUUCCCAAGAGCAGGAAGGACAUUCAAAACAACGGAGAUGUACCAUUUAUUGAUGUAGCAGGCCUUUUACAUGUAUGAUCUCGGUUCUCACAGCUACUUCGUGGGGCCUGUCUCCAGCACAAGGAUGCUUUCCUGCUGCAAGUUGUGGAAAAUCCCCUCCAGUUCAGCAGAGGAGUUCACCGUCCUGCCAACUAGGAAGUCCAGAGGUGGGGCUGAGUGGUGCGGCACAGUGAGGCCCGGGCAAGGAGCCCUGUCCUCCACCCACAGGAUGAAGGAAUGUUCUUUCACAUCCCUCACAUCCCUCCCUGGACCCAUGACAGUUGCCAAAGGGAUGCCAGGUGCUGAUUGGAUUCUUGAACACAACACUGGUAAGAGAUGUGCUUAUCUAACCGGGACCUUCCUGGGAGCCGGGGCUGGGCUAGGGGCCUCGGCGUCAUGUGGCUUGAGUGGAGGGGGAAAGGGCCGGGUCUGGGUAGACAUUUCAUGUCUGAUUGGGCG
Molecule: long non-coding RNA, 814 nt
Filed under: Felis catus (domestic cat)
Lineage: Eukaryota; Metazoa; Chordata; Mammalia; Carnivora; Felidae
Description: lncRNA (ENSFCAG00000047523.1)
Source: RNAcentral